This is a long non-coding RNA of Megalobrama amblycephala (Wuchang bream), 988 nucleotides long. RefSeq lists it as uncharacterized. NCBI's taxonomy places the organism in Eukaryota, Metazoa, Chordata, Actinopteri, Cypriniformes, Xenocyprididae. The record is from RefSeq and is a predicted model, not a curated record. The transcript has 5 exons.
CUUUAAUGAGCCUUUCGCCGUUUCACUGUAUCAACCACACUUCUUCUUGUACGAUGUAAUGGCGGUUGACAAGCCAUCGACCGCACUUAUAUCUGCAUGGCUAAAUCUGUAUUUGCCACAUUACUGCAUGAUCAUGGAGGCCAGACAGAGCUAGGCCAAAACGCGAAGGCGUCUUGAACGCGGCUCCCAUGCAAGCCGACGACAGGGUAACGUAAGUUGUUGACUGUCCUGUCAGGAUUCCUGAGUUGGCCACUUUUUUGGGAAAAGCUGCCGAUAUAUUUCGCGGAGCAGAUGGAGAGCGGCGUGCAAAUAGCGUCUUUGACCUGAAGGAUAAAUCGUGUUCUCUGACUCCUGAUGACAGUUGGCAGCUUAGCGCCCCAGCAAGAGGUCAGGGGUCACAGAGCUCACAGUCAGCUCCUGGUUUAGCAAAUCAGCGAAGAGGUCCAGCAGCAGCUGUCCUGUUUUCUAGAGAAUGUUUUAAGGACCAUCAAUGGGCCACACUGAAUCAGGCCCACCAGCACUGAAAAUACAAGCCUUUCCUGUUGGGUGAAUCUUCAGCUGCCUUAUGACGUGUGCACUUUUACUUGAAGGCUACUUAUUCAACUGUAUACUUUCAACUUUGAGGACGGACUCCAGACGGGGUUCUCAGGGUCGUGAAAAAAAGGAAGAGGGGUGAAAUCAGCAGUGAUGUAGUGAUGACAGGUAAAACAUUGGAGCACGAGCCGGAGGAAGCGUGCCGCUGACUAUACGCACGUGCCACGCUACGCACCUGCCAAUCAAAGCCCAGCCCGCCCCCCUGUCUGUGCCGAGGACCUCAGCUGGGGGAGGGAGCAGCAUCUACUGGUGUCAUAUCUGUAUGAAACAGUUCAGAGAAAGGAAGGGUCCUAUGAAAUCAGUUUUAAUUUCUCAAAUUUAGUUUCUUUCAUUUUAAUUUUUCUGGACUCAUUUUAAUGGUUAAAUUAAAGAUACACUAUAUUAGUUUUUUUUG